UUCUCUGCAGAGAGAACUGCAGGUCAGAACUGUUUGCUCCAGGAACCAAAUUGGAGCCAAGCUUAUCCUUCCAAGAAACCUGAAACAGAGGGUGAGAUUCACCGCCAGAGCUGUUUGAGGGAGGCCUUGCUCCUGGUGACCACAGACAGUGGUUUUUUGUAUGAAGGGCGGAGGGACCUGCAUCACUGUGGAGUCCCAGAUGGCACAAUAAUAGGUGCCAGCGUCACUAAUGCUCAGCAGCCGUACUUUCAGGGUACAGGUAUAAUCCAUGCUCUUGUAAGUAGAAAAGUGAUCGGAGCUGAAUCCUGCAUCCAAGCUGGGUUGAGAUGUGGCCGUGUUACAGUAGAGCAGACGCUGGGGAGCCUUUCCCGGCUGCUGGCGAUACCAGUGGAUGGUACAGCUGGGAUCAUUGCUCUUGAAAGUAGAAAAUUUACUGGAGCUGAAUCCUGCAUCCAGCGUGGAUUGAGAUGUUUCUGUGUUACAGUAGAGCACGUGCUGGGGAGCCUUCCCAGGCUGCUGGAGAUACCAGUGGAUGUAGCUGUUGCUCUUUUGGGAAAACUCACAGAAAAACGAUGCCAGUGUUCCAGUCUGUUUGGUGAUGGAGACCAUCGUCUUGUCCGUAGUGACCUCUGUCUGGCCAGCUGCAAUGGAAGCAGAAAGUAAACCACCGUGGUGAGGUUGGGGAGGAGGAGUUGGAGAAUAAGGAGACGAUUCGAGGUGAACUAACCCAGGAUGAAAGCAGUCGACUUACCGGGGAACAGGGAGGCAAGAAGGAGGGCGACAGAAACCAACAUGUCUCUGCCUGCAGCACUUGGAGCUCUGAGGAGGAUGAAAGGAGUAGAGGAUGGUGGUUCCUACCUGUCCCUGAGCCCAGUGGUCUGAAGUGGGGUCUGGGGCCCUGGGGUUGGAGCAGUGAAUCACCGAGGUCUCUGCUCUUCUGAUUGGCUGGGCUUCUUUCUCUUGACUGGUUCAGGGGGUUGGGGAAGAGAGGUGAUGGGGGUACCAGAGUGCUUUCACAUGAUCACUACAUGCUUGUUGGCCACGAGGGAGAGCCGGUGGGAGCAAGAGAUGAGACGUGUUAGGCAGAGGGAUGGCAGGGACAGGAGAGAGACCUCGAUCACAUACCACUGUAAGCUAUUCGAGCAAUCCUGAGGGAAAUGUCUUGAUCUUGCCUGCACCACACUGAAACGUCAGUCAGUAGUACAUGCUGAAUGCCUACUGUAUUCACAGGACUGUACCAGGUGAGAGUAAAAGGAGACAGAAAGAUAUGGACCAUGAGUUUAUAAUCUGGUGGGGUGAAUCUAAUAUUGGACAGAGAAUCAGUCAGAGAAUAUAAUUUAUGAGGAGAGAAACAGGGACUCAGGUCUUUCUCUUUUCAACCUGUUCCAGGUAGUAAUAAUAACGAUGGCAAUGGUUAAGCGCUUACCACGUGCCAAGCACUGUUCUAAGUGCUUGGGUAGAUACAAGGUAAUGAGGUUAUCCCACGUGGGGUUCACAGUCUUAAUUCUCAUUUUUCUGAUGAGCUAACUGAAGCACAGAGAAGUUAAGUGACUUGCCCAAAGUCACACAGCUAAAUGGCGGAGCCAGGAUUAGAACCCAUGACCUCUGACUCUCAAGCCCAUGCUCUUUCCACAAAGCCACGCUGCUUCUCAGUUGGGCUGUGGGAGUCGUGAUUCUUCCAUUCGUUUCUCUCCAGGGUUCAACUGGGUCUGGGAGAGGUUGGGAGACCCUGAACUCAAGCCCCACUCCUGCCCUACCUUCCCAACUGUGGCUACGAAUGACACCCAGGUUACAUAAUGAUGAUAGUAAUAAUGGUGGAGUUUAGUAAGAGCUUACUACGUGCCACGGACUGCAUGGAACGUCGGGGUGAAUAAAAGACAAUCAGGUGUGACACAAUCCCUGUCCCACAUCCUUCCAUUUUUCUUAUUUGUAAUUUAUUUUAAUUUCUGUCUCCUCUUUCUGGACUUCAAGUUCCUUCAGGGCCAGGAUUGUGUGCCUCUACUCUACUCAACUCUCCCAAACAUGUAGUUCAGCAUUCUGUACACAAUAAGUGUCAAAUAACUACCAGUGAUCGAUUGAUUUAUUGAUGUGGUGAGGGCACAGACCUGUUUUGCUCUAGAAACCAAACUGGAGCCAAGCUUAGCUUGCCAAGGAGCCUGAAACAGAAGGUGAGAUUCGCUGCUGGACCUGUGAGGAGUAGGUCCUAGUGACCAGAGAAAUUGACUUUUUGUAUGAGGGACGGAGGGAACUGUGUCACUGUGUAGGCCCAGCUGGCACAGUAAUAGGUGGCGGUGUCAUUAACGUUCAGCUUGUGUACUUGCAGGGUACAGCUAUGUUCGUUGUUCUUGUAAGUAGAAAAUUUCUCAGAGCUGAAUUCCGCAGCCAGGAUGGGUUCAGAGGAGUGCAGGUCACAGUAGAGCAGGUGCUGGGGAGCCAUUCCAGGCUGCUGGCGAUACCAGUGGAUGUAAGGGAAGCUGUUGUGGUAAAACUCGUAGGGAAAUGAUGCCGAUGUACCAGCCUGUCUGGUGAUGGAGACAAUUGGCUGAUUCAUGGUGAGCGUUGUCUGGCCAGCUGCAGUGGAGACAGAAAGCAAGUCACUGUGGUGAGGAUGGGGGGUGGGGAGUAGGAGAUUAAGGAGUCAGUCCUAAACUGAGAUAACCCAGGACGAAAGCAGCCGACUUACCGGGGAGCAGGGUGGCGAGAAGGAGGGUGACGGACCCCAGCAUGUCUCCGCCUACAGUGCUCGGGGAUCUGGGGAGGAGGCGAGGAGGAGACGAUGGUGGUUCCCACCUGUUCCUGAGCCCCAGAUGUUCUAAAGUGGGGCUGGGGACUCUGGGGCUGGAGUGUUGAGUCACUGAGGUCUCUGCUCCGCUGAUUGGCUGAUCUUUUUAUAACUAGAAUGAGGGGAUGGAGGGGAAAGGUGACUGGGGUAAUGUGGGUGCUAUCACAUGGUAACUAUAUAUUUAUUGGCCUCGGGGGAGGGCUGGAAGGAGAAAGGCCAAGUGCAUCUAUCUCAUUUUUCCCCCCACUAAGUUAAAACUCCUUUCACACCAUCUUUUCUUCUCAUUUUCUCCUUGUUUCCUUGUUUUGGGGACUCAGGUAGCAGAGGGAAAUGGGAAAAAAGAGCUAGAGAGAAAAUUUGGGGGGAAGCACCAUGCUUAGCAGAGUAUUCUGGGCACCAUAGGCAUUCUGCCGAUAUUCUUGAUUGAUGGAUUGAUUGAUUGUGGAUGAAAAGACCAGAACAGAUUUGGUUGGCCACCUGCAAAGCUCUGUCCCACAGUCUGGACUCUACUUCUUUUGAGGCCGGGAUGAGCACGCUUAUCGGUGCCUAGACCCUGAGGCAUGUUGGAAGGGGGCACCAAGUGAGCCUUCGGACUUUGGCCUUCCUGGUAUAAAGCACUAGCUCUGGGUGUUAUUGAUUCCCACCUUGUGCCCAAGCGGGUUCAGUGCAGGCAUAUGAAGCCCUACUCCGGAGAACAGUGCUCUGCUCUGGUUCCAGCAACCGGACUCCUCUCAAGUGAACUUGGGGAGAAGCCAGGGGAGUCACUAAGAUGACCAAUAUAUGGCAGCCAGGACAUCAGAG
Molecule: long non-coding RNA, 3583 nt
Filed under: Ornithorhynchus anatinus (platypus)
Lineage: Eukaryota; Metazoa; Chordata; Mammalia; Monotremata; Ornithorhynchidae
Description: lncRNA (ENSOANG00000042185.1)
Source: RNAcentral